RNAcentral lists this long non-coding RNA (229 nucleotides) under Ananas comosus (pineapple). Its description in RNAcentral is "long non-coding RNA (ACOM_LNC007746)". Lineage: Eukaryota; Viridiplantae; Streptophyta; Magnoliopsida; Poales; Bromeliaceae. The record is from RNAcentral.
CGGAAAAGAAUUUUUUGGAUUAUUUUUUUUUUGAGAGAUAGGUAGCACGCUACCCGCUUCGUUUAUUUCAUUUAGAAAUAAACUUAGCUGAAAAUGUGAAUCAACUAGGAUUCGAACUUGGGUCUCGGGUACCAACUAUCAAACCCUUUGCCACUUGCUCUAGGGACGGUUGGUAAUUUUUUUGGAUUAUUAAAUCCUGCUUUUUGAGUAUUAGGAUAGGAUAGAUUUU